CCUACGGGGUGCAGCAGUGAGGAAUAUUGGUCAAUGGCCGUAAGGCUGAACCAGCCAAGUCGCGUGAAGGAAGAAGGAUCUAUGGUUUGUAAACCUCUUUUGUCGGGGAGCAAAAGCCGGACGUGUCCGGCUGUGAGAGUACCCGAAGAAAAAGCAUCGGCUAACUCCGUGCCAGCAGCCGCGGUAAUACGGAGGAUGCGAGCGUUAUCCGGAUUUAUUGGGUUUAAAGGGUGCGCAGGCGGAAGAUCAAGUCAGCGGUAAAAUUGAGAGGCUCAACCUCUUCGAGCCGUUGAAACUGGUUUUCUUGAGUGAGCGAGAAGUAUGCGGAAUGCGUGGUGUAGCGGUGAAAUGCAUAGAUAUCACGCAGAACUCCGAUUGCGAAGGCAGCAUACCGGCGCUCAACGGACGCUCAUGCACGAAAGUGUUGGUAUCGAACAGGAUUAGAUACCCGGGUAGUC
RNAcentral lists this ribosomal RNA (458 nucleotides) under uncultured bacterium. RNAcentral's name for it is "partial 16S ribosomal RNA". It matches the Rfam family "Bacterial small subunit ribosomal RNA", at positions 338 to 795 of the family's 1533-position model. The record is from RNAcentral.